RNAcentral lists this unclassified non-coding RNA (846 nucleotides) under Hevea brasiliensis (rubber tree). Lineage: Eukaryota; Viridiplantae; Streptophyta; Magnoliopsida; Malpighiales; Euphorbiaceae. The record is from RNAcentral.
UCAAUUAUAUGGAUUCUAUCAGCAUCACUAAGGGCUUCGAGGAGGGCCUGGUUGCAAGUGAAGUUAACAAACUGGAUGAGCGGAGAAACUUCAGAGAAGACUUUGUAAGCACCCAUUUUAUAGAUGACAUCGAAUGGAGAGGGGCUCCUAGACGGUGACUGGGUUGUUAUUCAUGUGAAGGAGCAGUUGCAGAGCCUCCUUGAAGUAGAAAGCUGCCCUGUGGAGAGGCUUUCCUAUUGGGGAUAGCUGUUGAUUGAGCCGCGCCAAUAUCCCUUGCGCGUGUGAGAAAUUCCCAGUCCCUACCAGCUCAGCUGCCUUGUAGAGCUGGUCCAGCAACGCAUUUUGGUGCUGUUGUUGCUGGUGUUGGGCUGCUACUUCUUCUUUCUUCACCACCAAUGGCUUCUGUUGAAGAUGUGGAUGAAGAAACUGCAUCCCUUGUGGAAAUCCCGGAUGCUGUUGGUGUUGCUGCUGCUGUUUUCGUAGUAAUAUCUCGUGCCCGGGAUCGUUGAAUUGAAGCUUGGGAAUCAUCUGAGAUAUUGGGUCUAUGCCCCCGGAGUUGUGGCGCUUUUGUUGGGGCUGAAGGAGGUGAUUUUCUUGCUGGGGAAACGACAAUGGCAAGAAAAAGUUUGGAUUUUGACAGUGUGGAUUGUGAGGAUAUUGCUGGUUCAUUAACAUCUGUGGAUUAAGUACCAGUGGCUUCUCCUCCUGAGCGCCAAUUUGGUGUUGCAGAUUAUGAUGGUAAAGCAUUCCAGUAGGCAAAGUAGCCGGAAGAGGAACACUGCUAGCUGGAGAACCAAAAACUGGGUUUUGUAUACUACAGUUACUGUUGUUGUUGCUUCCCAAUCC